GCCUGGUUAGCUCAGUUGGUAGAGCGCUCCAAUGGAAAUGGAGAGGUACUUGGUUCGAUACCAGGAUUAGGCA
Non-coding RNA from Ixodes scapularis (black-legged tick), 73 nucleotides. The record is from Rfam. Lineage: Eukaryota; Metazoa; Arthropoda; Arachnida; Ixodida; Ixodidae.